Molecule: ribosomal RNA, 589 nt
Filed under: uncultured bacterium
Lineage: Bacteria
Description: partial 16S ribosomal RNA
Rfam family: Bacterial small subunit ribosomal RNA
Source: RNAcentral
UGGGGAAUAUUGCACAAUGGGCGCAAGCCUGAUGCAGCCAUGCCGCGUGUGUGAAGAAGGCCUUCGGGUUGUAAGGCACUUUCAGCGAGGAGGAAGGUGGUGAGCUUAAUACGCUCAUCAAUUGACGUUACUCGCAGAAGAAGCACCGGCUAACUCCGUGCCAGCAGCCGCGGUAAUACGGAGGGUGCAAGCGUUAAUCGGAAUUACUGGGCGUAAAGCGCACGCAGGCGGUUUGUUAAGUCAGAUGUGAAAUCCCCGGGCUCAACCUGGGAACUGCAUUUGAAACUGGCAAGCUAGAGUCUCGUAGAGGGGGGUAGAAUUCCAGGUGUAGCGGUGAAAUGCGUAGAGAUCUGGAGGAAUACCGGUGGCGAAGGCGGCCCCCUGGACGAAGACUGACGCUCAGGUGCGAAAGCGUGGGGCAGCAAACAGGAUUAGAUACCCUGGUAGUCCAGCGCUGUAAAACGAUGUCGAUUUGGAGGUUGUGCCCUUGAGGCGUGGCUCCCGGAGCUAACGCGUUAAAUCGACCGCCUGGGGAGUACGGCCGCAAGGUUAAAACUCAAAUGAAUUGACGGGGUCAUAGCUGUUUCCU